UACAGAGGGUGCGAGCGUUACUCGGAAUUACUGGGCGUAAAGCGCGCGUAGGCGGCUUUGCAAGUCGGGUGUGAAAUCCCCAGGCUCAACCUGGGAACUGCAUUCGAGACUGCAUUGCUAGAGUAUGGGAGAGGGAAGUGGAAUUUCAGGUGUAGCGGUGAAAUGCGUAGAUAUCUGGAGGAACACCGGUGGCGAAGGCGGCAUUCUGGACUGCAACUGACGCUGAAAAACGAAAGCCAGGGGAGCAAACGGG
RNAcentral lists this ribosomal RNA (253 nucleotides) under uncultured bacterium. RNAcentral's name for it is "partial 16S ribosomal RNA". It matches the Rfam family "Bacterial small subunit ribosomal RNA", at positions 524 to 776 of the family's 1533-position model. The record is from RNAcentral.